Molecule: non-coding RNA, 562 nt
Organism: Tupaia belangeri chinensis (Chinese tree shrew)
Lineage: Eukaryota; Metazoa; Chordata; Mammalia; Scandentia; Tupaiidae
Source: the annotation of a RefSeq genome assembly
UUGUGACUGGCUGUUCCCCUGAGGACAGCCCCAAAACAAGAGCUGCUAGUGUGGGCCCUGGUGGUGGCUGCUCUGCAAUUCUCUGAUUCCUAUACCAGUCCACGCUCAGACUCAGCACAGAAGCCUAAGGCCUGGGUCCCAGCCUGUACCUAGAAUAUGAGGCAGGUGGCAAGAGUGACUAUCCUCCUGACUCUGGGCACGUUGGGCCUUGCUAAGACCUCCCAGCCCCUGUCCAUGGAUGCAUAUGAAGGACAAGAAGUGAACAUGUCCUGUAGUCACAGCAGCAUUGCUACAAAUGAGUAUAUCUUCUGGUACCGACAGUUUCCCAAUCAGGGACCACAGUUCUUUGUUCAAGGCUAUAAGACAAACAUUAUGAAUGAAGCAUCAACUCUAUUUAUCCCUGGAGACAGGAAGUCCAGUAUCCUGAGCCUGCACCGGGCUGCCCUGGAAGACACUGCAGUGUACUACUGCAUCGUGGCUGACACAGUGAGACGAAUGGGUCUGCACCUGUGCAGAAUCUCUGUGGGUAGGACUCCCAGCCUAGAAGAAGCCCUAAAGUAGU